CCUACGGGUGGCUGCAGUGGGGAAUAUUGGACAAUGGGGGCAACCCUGAUCCAGCCAUGCCGCGUGUGUGAAGAAGGCCUUCGGGUUGUAAAGCACUUUAAGCAGGGAGGAAGGCUCGUUGGUUAAUAACCAGCGGGAGUGACGUUACCUGCAGAAUAAGCACCGGCAUACUCCGUGCCAGCAGCCGCGGUAAUACGGAGGGUGUGAGCGGUCAUCGGAAUUACUGGGCGGAAAGCGUACGUCGGCGGUGAAAUCCCCGGGCUCAACCUGGGUGCUGCAUGCGAUACUGGCAGACUUGAAUACGGUAGAGGGGGGUGGAAUUCCAGGUGUAGCGGUGAAAUGCGUAGAGAUCUGGAGGAACACCAGUGGCGAAGGCGGCCCCCUGGACCGAUAUUGACGCUGAGGUACGAAAGCGUGGGGAGCAAACAGGAUUAGAUACCCCGGUAGUC
Molecule: ribosomal RNA, 449 nt
Filed under: uncultured bacterium
Lineage: Bacteria
Description: partial 16S ribosomal RNA
Rfam family: Bacterial small subunit ribosomal RNA
Source: RNAcentral